This 465-nucleotide ribosomal RNA is filed under the name Vreelandella stevensii. RNAcentral's name for it is "partial 16S ribosomal RNA". It matches the Rfam family "Bacterial small subunit ribosomal RNA", at positions 338 to 795 of the family's 1533-position model. Lineage: Bacteria; Pseudomonadati; Pseudomonadota; Gammaproteobacteria; Oceanospirillales; Halomonadaceae. The record is from RNAcentral.
CCUACGGGGGGCAGCAGUGGGGAAUAUUGGACAAUGGGCGAAAGCCUGAUCCAGCCAUGCCGCGUGUGUGAAGAAGGCCUUCGGGUUGUAAAGCACUUUCAGUGGGGAAGAAAGCCUUGGGGCUAAUACCCUCGAGGAAGGACAUCACCCACAGAAGAAGCACCGGCUAACUCCGUGCCAGCAGCCGCGGUAAUACGGAGGGUGCGAGCGUUAAUCGGAAUUACUGGGCGUAAAGCGCGCGUAGGCGGUCUGAUAAGCCGGUUGUGAAAGCCCCGGGCUCAACCUGGGAACGGCAUCCGGAACGGUCAGGCUAGAGUGCAGGAGAGGAAGGUAGAAUUCCCGGUGUAGCGGUGAAAUGCGUAGAGAUCGGGAGGAAUACCAGUGGCGAAGGCGGCCUUCUGGACUGACACUGACGCUGAGGUGCGAAAGCGUGGGUAGCAAACAGGAUUAGAUACCCCGGUAGUC